AGGCGCGAAAACUUUACAAUGCAGGAAACAGCGAUAAGGGAACGUCGAGUGCCAGCAUCCAAAUUUGGCUGUCCCGAUGCCUAAAAAACACUGCGUAGCAAGGGCCGGGCAAGACCGGUGCCAGCCGCCGCGGUAACACCGGCGGCUCGAGUGGUGACCGUUAUUAUUGGGUCUAAAGGGUUCGUAGCCGGCUUGGUCAGUCUUCUUGGGAAAUCUGGCAGCUUAACUGUCAGGGCUUCAGGGAGAU
RNAcentral lists this ribosomal RNA (247 nucleotides) under uncultured archaeon. Its description in RNAcentral is "partial 16S ribosomal RNA". It matches the Rfam family "Archaeal small subunit ribosomal RNA", at positions 337 to 583 of the family's 1478-position model. The record is from RNAcentral.